Molecule: long non-coding RNA, 1689 nt
Organism: Drosophila nasuta
Lineage: Eukaryota; Metazoa; Arthropoda; Insecta; Diptera; Drosophilidae
Exons: 2
Source: RefSeq, a predicted model, not a curated record
UAGUACUCUUUAAUUUACACACUAUUUAGUUGAAUUCAAAGAUAGUUUGCAGAAUAUGAAAUUAAUAAUCUAAGGCGAAAAGCAAGAUAAAAACGUAUUCACACCACAAAUAGAUUAUAUUUUGAUUAAGUUCCAGGAAUUGACAAUUGCUUUUGCUGUAAAAUGAAAAAAAGGAGUGCAAAGAAAUCCAGCAAACCACAUUUCACGGUCAAAGACUUCAUCUGUGUAGCAGGAGAGAAUUCAUUUCGCCGGGCAAUUUUGUGCACGCAGCUGCAAAAUGCGACUUAAGCAAAAUAAACAUGGGAAAAUUGCAAUGGAGAACAGAGAAUAGAGAAUGGAAAUGCGAAUAUGAAUGGGAAUGAGAAUGGGAAACGUGACCACCGACAACUGAUGAGACUUGGCGACAAUUGCAUCCAUUUGAUAAGGCCAGAGAAGAGAAGAUGCCGCCACGAUUAAGUAGAGCUGAACUCCAUCUCAUCUCAUCUGCAAUAUGCCUCAAUUAUGAGCCUCAAGUCGCCGACAGGUGGGUGGCGGAACCAUUCGCUAGGCGCCACAUCAAGGCACAAUGACGGAGCCAAGCAACGAUGACUGAAAUCGAAAACGAAAACGACAUGCAAAGCAGACGCUCUGAAUUGCACUCAAAAUGCAGUGGGCGUGGGGCCAUUGAAUGAAAGCACACUUGUGGCCGAAAAUAUUGAUCCAAUUGAUUGAGAAUUUUUGGAUUAGCGAAUUUUUAUAAAUCCAAAUAUUAUCUAAAAAAAACAAUUUCAAUAAUUCACCAAAACUGAGUUCGAUUUAUCAAAUUGAAAUCCAAUAAUUUGUCAAUCACCAUUGAACGCUUCAGUUGCUUAUCGCUUAACUGGAUCCGAUAUUAUCACAAACGCAAUUCAUAACAUUAAAAUGUGAAAAUGCCUUGGACUUCCAAUUUAACACCCACUGUAAACGUCAGUGUACAAAUUAUUGCCCACCGACGACUAAUGAAAAAUAUUUGUACUUGUGUUCUUGCUAUAUGCGUGGGGUACUUCAAAAAUAAUGCACUUGCAUACGAAAGAACUUCUUUAGAUUAUAAAACAAAUAGAAUAGUCUUCAAAAAGUUAUUUAUAAAUAAAAUAAAAACAAAUCGUUCCAAAAGAUUAAAGUUGAACUUUAAUUCUGAGUGUAAAAAUUUAAGAUUUUGUCCACUGUCUUAUAUAAAUUAAUUUAAAAACCAAAAAGACAUACAUUAUUGAUAAAUAAUUAUAUGUUUUCACUAUUAACACAAGCUAUUAUUUUUUCAUAUUACAACACUGUAUUUACAUUUAGAUAAAUUUACAAGAACCUAUGAAGCAACCCACAAGUUCGAUUUGACCUCAUUAUUCGAUUUAUGACCGCGCACAGUUUAAAAUGAAUAAGUUUAACAAAACCAUAAUUCUUGCGAUUACAAAACGGGAUUUCAGUUAAAUUGGUGAAGGCAUCAAAAAAUUAAUUUCAUCGAAAAUUUGCUUAAAUUGAAUGUUUUUAGAGAGCGAUUACUUAUCAGGCGCCCCACGUACGUACUUUGCUUUAGCUGUCACUGUAUUGCUGUCUUGCUGUUGCUGUUGCUGUUGCUGUAUGUUUACUUCACUCUUGUUGGCCCGGCUCGGUCUAGAAAUUUUGCUUCGGACUGGCGCUGGCACUGGCACUGGCACUGGCACUGGUACUGAACAACAC